CCCUUAGAUGUCCUGGGCCGCACGCGCGCUACACUGAGUGUCUGAGAUACGAGUCUGCCUGGUCCGGCAAGGUCUAGGUAAUCGCUAAAAGACACAUCAUGCUUGGGAUAGAUUAUUGCAAAUAUUAAUCUUGAACGAGGAAUUCCUAGUAAGCGCAAGUCAACAGCCUGCGUUGAUUACGUCCCUGCCCUUUGUACACACCGCCCGUCGCUACUACUGAUUGGAUGUUUAAGCGAGGUUCUCGAACUGCUAGCGACUUAGCUUCGGUGAGGUCGCAGUGUGGGAAGUGAACCUAGCUUUGGUGUCUAGAGGAAGUAAAAGUCGUAACA
This 329-nucleotide ribosomal RNA is filed under the name uncultured eukaryote. RNAcentral's name for it is "partial 18S ribosomal RNA". It matches the Rfam family "Eukaryotic small subunit ribosomal RNA", at positions 1470 to 1796 of the family's 1831-position model. The record is from RNAcentral.